RNAcentral lists this transfer RNA (76 nucleotides) under Mixta theicola. RNAcentral describes it as "tRNA-Val". It matches the Rfam family "tRNA". From Rfam's summary of the family: Transfer RNA (tRNA) molecules are approximately 80 nucleotides in length. Their secondary structure includes four short double-helical elements and three loops (D, anti-codon, and T loops). Further hydrogen bonds mediate the characteristic L-shaped molecular structure. tRNAs have two regions of fundamental functional importance: the anti-codon, which is responsible for specific mRNA codon recognition, and the 3' end, to which the tRNAs corresponding amino acid is attached (by aminoacyl-tRNA synthetases). tRNAs cope with the degeneracy of the genetic code in two manners: having more than one tRNA (with a specific anti-codon) for a particular amino acid; and 'wobble' base-pairing, i.e. permitting non-standard base-pairing at the 3rd anti-codon position. The record is from RNAcentral. RNAcentral also lists the same sequence under 1 other name. Lineage: Bacteria; Pseudomonadati; Pseudomonadota; Gammaproteobacteria; Enterobacterales; Erwiniaceae.
ACGGGCGUGGUAUAAGUGGUGAUUACACCAGCCGUACCGGCUGAAGAUGCGGGUUCGAGUCCUGCUGCCCGUUCCA